GAGUUGUAAUCUGGAGAAGCGUUUUCCGUGUCGGACCGUGCACAAGUCUCUNGGAACAGAGCGUCAUAGAGGGUGAGAAUCCCGUUUAUGGCACGGACAACCGAUACUUUGUGAUACGUUUUCUAAGAGUCGAGUUGUUUGGGAAUGCAGCUCAAAAUGGGUGGUAAAUUCCAUCUAAAGCUAAAUAUAGGCGAGAGACCGAUAGCGAACAAGUACCGUGAGGGAAAGAUGAAAAGCACUUUGGAAAGAGAGUUAAACAGUACGUGAAAUUGUUGAAAGGGAAACGCUUGAAGUCAGUCGCGUCUUCUAGGACUCAGCCUUGCUUCGGUUAGGUGUACUUCCUGGUUUGACGGGUCAACAUCGAUUUUGAUCGACGGAUAAAGGAGAAGGGAACGUGGCACCUCCGGGUGUGUUAUAGCCCUCUUCGUAUACGUCGAUUGGGAUCGAGGACUGCAGCACGCCCUUGUGGCCGGGGGUUCGCCCUACGUAUCGUGCUUAGGAUGUUGACAUAAUGGCUUUAAGCGACCCGUCUUGAAACACGGACCAAGGAGUCUAACAUGCUCGCGAGUGUUAGGGUGGAAAACCCUUGCGCGUAAUGAAAGUGAAAGUUGGGACCUCUGCGAGGAGGGCACCGACGCCCGGCCCUGAAGUUUUCUGACGGUGCUGCGGUAGAGCGCGUAUGUUGGGACCCGAAAGAUGGUGAACUAUGCCUGAAUAGGGCGAAGCCAGAGGAAACUC
RNAcentral lists this ribosomal RNA (738 nucleotides) under Trichaptum fuscoviolaceum. RNAcentral's name for it is "partial large subunit ribosomal RNA". It matches the Rfam family "Eukaryotic large subunit ribosomal RNA", at positions 140 to 864 of the family's 3401-position model. The record is from RNAcentral. Lineage: Eukaryota; Fungi; Basidiomycota; Agaricomycetes; Hymenochaetales; Trichaptaceae.